UUUUUGAUGGAAAAGCACAGUAGACUAUUAAGGUAUUGCAUUUCUUAUUUAUAGUGCCUGUAGCUAGGUGUAUGGUGAUUGCUAAUUCACUGCCUGAGCCAGUGAUUGAGCACCUGGCGAAGGGACACAGCCAGCCCUGGGAGCACAGGUGAAAUUCCUGGUUCCCACCCCUCCCUAAGCCUCAUCUAAGGGCUGGCUGCCAAAGGGAAGGAUCUCUAUCUGGAUAUCCCUUCUAUUGGAGUGUUUGGUGAGUCCUGAUCCUUAGGAUGGAGCAGAUGGUGUGUGUCCACAUACGGUGUUUGAAAAUUAUGGAGGUUUUGAUUCUGGCUUUCCUACGUAAAGAAACAGUUUGCUUUCUGGAAAGAAUAAUUACUUUCAUUGGGACUGCACAGCCUCUCCAGUCUUGAUGCCAAUGCUUCUCCUGACAACCUGGUUGGGUUGGUGCCUACUGCUCCUCACUCCCUGCCCAGUCUUUCCUUUUGGGUUUGGCCAGAGCUAGGAGCUGAGGUGGGGCUGAUCUGCCCUGACAGAUGUGCUGCCAAGGAUGCUCCUCUGAGGCUGGUUUGAUGGGCUUUAAAAUACCAGAUGUGCAGUAGGUUUUACCAUGGAUUGGCAGAAGUCAGAGCCUUACGAUGCUGACCUCUGAUGUGCUUUGGUCAACACUUUAUAAAGAAACACUGACUUUUAAAAGGUUCUGACCAAAAAUGCUAGUCUGGAAAAAUAUGGACAAUGUAUAUAUUUUUAAAUGAAAAUGGGCUUCGACUUUAUGUAAUCAAUAAGGAUGUAGCUGGGACACUGUGUCUGAAUUUUACAAACAAACUGCACAUCAGAUUAUAAACUAUAUUCAGGGAUACAUAUACACAAAAUCUUGGUUAUUGGGAAAGGCUAGACAGAAAACAGACUGUGAUAGUCUAAGAUAUAAUUUAUGUGUAUUUAUUUUUAAAAUAAGUUUUAAAAUGUGCCCAAGAAACAAAAAUACAGGGUAAACUUGGGCAGCCAAGCCAGGCAGUUUCCUAAAAGAAGGUGAUAAUCUCUUCAACAAGACAUGCACAUUUCUGAGUGUGAGACAACUGAGAGCACCUAAUACCAGUCAGAUCUGUAGGAGCUAAAGCAUAAAUCAGGUGAUUUCAGCAACUGUUGGAGAAGCCAAGCAUCUUAGGAGGGGGACAGGAGUGUAACUGAGAUACUAUUUUUCUCUAAUGUCUGAAUUAACUUUGAGUAUGCAUGCCAACAUUUCCGCUGGCUUCCAAAGGAGGUCAUGCUGGUAGUUACUUUGUCGUGUUAUGAUUUUUCUCUUCUGAUCUUAUUUUUAAUUAAAUCACUGGAGUUGUGCAUUACUUGCAUGACUAAUGAUGACAGAGUGUAUUCCUAGCAGAGGAGACACCUGCUGAGUCAAUAAAUCAAGGAGGGAAAGAUAGCCAAAACAAGUAUCUGAGCAAUCCUGUAGGAAAAAGCAGCACUGUUAACAGACUUAUCUUGUCCUACAGCAGGAGCAUCACCACACUUGGGUGGUGAUUUAGACUCAUGGUUAAAAACAUACAUUAAUAAGUCUCUAAUUUAUUGCACAGGCUGCUGUAUAAAUAAACUUGAAAAGGAAGGAACACUGUUUUAUUUUCAUACCCAAGUCUGAACGUGCAGAGUUGGUAAUUAGAAAAAAAUAUGCUUACUUUUGUGCACUGACGUGAGCAUUGCUGCAGAAGCAGGUGAAAGGGCCACAUCUUUGGAGCAGAGCCUCCCUUUCAGUAUUAGCUCCUUUUAUUGAGCUGUAGGUGCUGUCAGGGGGUUUCCUUACUGGAUGCCUGUUUGUGUGUGGCUACACCAAAGUGAGCUUAUGUAAGUCCGUGUGCAGCUGGAGUUGUGUUUUCAAUCAGUGCCUUCUUAAUACAUGUAAUAUUUAGUUAAUCUGGAUGAAUUAAAAUUCAGCCUAGCAAGAAGAUUCUAAGCUGUAUUUCAUGGCUUCUGGGCAACCAAUACUUUACUAUCAUGC
Phasianus colchicus (ring-necked pheasant) is the source of this 1987-nucleotide long non-coding RNA. RefSeq lists it as uncharacterized. NCBI's taxonomy places the organism in Eukaryota, Metazoa, Chordata, Aves, Galliformes, Phasianidae. The record is from RefSeq and is a predicted model, not a curated record.